This 425-nucleotide ribosomal RNA is filed under the name uncultured Eubacterium sp. Its description in RNAcentral is "bacterial SSU rRNA". It matches the Rfam family "Bacterial small subunit ribosomal RNA", at positions 355 to 794 of the family's 1533-position model. Lineage: Bacteria; Bacillati; Bacillota; Clostridia; Eubacteriales; Eubacteriaceae. The record is from RNAcentral.
UGGGGAAUAUUGCACAAUGGGCGAAAGACCUGAUGCAGCAACGCCGCGUGAGGGAAGACGGUUUUCGGAUUGUAAACCUCUGUUUUCGGUGACGAACAAAUGACGGUAACCGAGUAGGAAGCCACGGCUAACUACGUGCCAGCAGCCGCGGUAAUACGUAGGUGGCAAGCGUUGUCCGGAAUUACUGGGUGUAAAGGGAGCGCAGGCGGGAAAUCAAGUUGGAUGUGAAAUGUCGGGGCUUAACCCCGGAACUGCAUCCAAAACUGAUAUUCUUGAGUGAAGUAGAGGUAGGCGGAAUUCCGAGUGUAGCGGUGAAAUGCGUAGAUAUUCGGAGGAACACCAGUGGCGAAGGCGGCCUACUGGGCUUUAACUGACGCUGAGGCUCGAAAGUGUGGGGAGCAAACAGGAUUAGAUACCCUGGUAGU